GCGGCCUAUCAGCUUGUUGGUGGGGUAAUGGCCUACCAAGGCGACGACGGGUAGCCGGCCUGAGAGGGUGACCGGCCACACUGGGACUGAGACACGGCCCAGACUCCUACGGGAGGCAGCAGUGGGGAAUAUUGCACAAUGGGCGAAAGCCUGAUGCAGCGACGCCGCGUGAGGGAUGACGGCCUUCGGGUUGUAAACCUCUUUCGCCAGGGACGAAGCGCAAGUGACGGUACCUGGAUAAGAAGCACCGGCUAACUACGUGCCAGCAGCCGCGGUAAUACGUAGGGUGCGAGCGUUGUCCGGAUUUAUUGGGCGUAAAGAGCUCGUAGGCGGUUUGUCGCGUCGGCCGUGAAAUCUCCACGCUUAACGUGGAGCGUGCGGUCGAUACGGGCAGACUUGAGUUCGGUAGGGGAGACUGGAAUUCCUGGUGUAGCGGUGAAAUGCGCAGAUAUCAGGAGGAACACCGGUGGCGAAGGCGGGUCUCUGGGCCGAUACUGACGCUGAGGAGCGAAAGCGUGGGGAGCGAACAGGAUUAGAUACCCUGGUAGUCCACGCUGUAAACGUUGGGCGCUAGGUGUGGGCGACAUCCACGUUGUCCGUGCCGUAGCUAACGCAUUAAGCGCCCCGCCUGGGGAGUACGG
This 641-nucleotide ribosomal RNA is filed under the name uncultured bacterium. RNAcentral's name for it is "bacterial SSU rRNA". It matches the Rfam family "Bacterial small subunit ribosomal RNA", at positions 233 to 885 of the family's 1533-position model. The record is from RNAcentral.